AUUGAACGCUGGCGGCAUGCCUUACACAUGCAAGUCGAACGGUAACGGGUCCUUCGGGAUGCCGACGAGUGGCGAACGGGUGAGUAAUAUAUCGGAACGUGCCCAGUAGUGGGGGAUAACUGCUCGAAAGAGCAGCUAAUACCGCAUACGACCUGAGGGUGAAAGGGGGGGAUCGCAAGACCUCUCGCUAUUGGAGCGGCCGAUAUCAGAUUAGCUAGUUGGUGGGGUAAAGGCCUACCAAGGCAACGAUCUGUAGUUGGUCUGAGAGGACGACCAGCCACACUGGGACUGAGACACGGCCCAGACUCCUACGGGAGGCAGCAGUGGGGAAUUUUGGACAAUGGGCGCAAGCCUGAUCCAGCAAUGCCGCGUGCAGGAAGAAGGCCUUCGGGUUGUAAACUGCUUUUGUCAGGGAAGAAAUCUUCUGGGCUAAUACCCCGGGAGGAUGACGGUACCUGAAGAAUAAGCACCGGCUAACUACGUGCCAGCAGCCGCGGUAAUACGUAGGGUGCGAGCGUUAAUCGGAAUUACUGGGCGUAAAGCGUGCGCAGGCGGCUUUGCAAGACAGAUGUGAAAUCCCCGGGCUCAACCUGGGAACUGCAUUUGUGACUGCAAGGCUAGAGUACGGCAGAGGGGGAUGGAAUUCCGCGUGUAGCAGUGAAAUGCGUAGAUAUGCGGAGGAACACCAAUGGCGAAGGCAAUCCCCUGGGCCUGUACUGACGCUCAUGCACGAAAGCGUGGGGAGCAAACAGGAUUAGAUACCCUGGUAGUCCACGCCCUAAACGAUGUCAACUGGUUGUUGGACGGCUUGCUGUUCAGUAACGAAGCUAACGCGUGAAGUUGACCGCCUGGGGAGUACGGCCGCAAGGUUGAAACUCAAAGGACUUGACGGGGACCCGCACAAGCGGUGGAUGAUGUGGUUUAAUUCGAUGCAACGCGAAAAACCUUACCUACCCUUGACAUGUCAAGAAUUCUGCAGAGAUGUGGAAGUGCUCGAAAGAGAACUUGAACACAGGUGCUGCAUGGCCGUCGUCAGCUCGUGUCGUGAGAUGUUGGGUUAAGUCCCGCAACGAGCGCAACCCUUGUCAUUAGUUGCUACGCAAGAGCACUCUAAUGAGACUGCCGGUGACAAACCGGAGGAAGGUGGGGAUGACGUCAGGUCCUCAUGGCCCUUAUGGGUAGGGCUACACACGUCAUACAAUGGCCGGUACAGAGGGCUGCCAACCCGCGAGGGGGAGCCAAUCCCAGAAAACCGGUCGUAGUCCGGAUCGUAGUCUGCAACUCGACUGCGUGAAGUCGGAAUCGCUAGUAAUCGCGGAUCAGCUUGCCGCGGUGAAUACGUUCCCGGGUCU
This 1352-nucleotide ribosomal RNA is filed under the name uncultured bacterium. RNAcentral describes it as "bacterial SSU rRNA". It matches the Rfam family "Bacterial small subunit ribosomal RNA", at positions 28 to 1381 of the family's 1533-position model. The record is from RNAcentral.